RNAcentral lists this ribosomal RNA (695 nucleotides) under uncultured Basidiomycota. RNAcentral's name for it is "eukaryotic LSU rRNA". The stretch from base 279 to 432 matches the Rfam family "5.8S ribosomal RNA". The record is from RNAcentral. Lineage: Eukaryota; Fungi; Basidiomycota.
CAUUAACGAAUUACGAACGUCUUCGGUUGAGCUGGCCUUCACCGGCAUGUGCCCACCGUCGUGCGCUUUUUCCAAAUUCAACACCUGUGCACCUUUGUGAAGGGGAUCUUCUUUGCGCUCUUGUUCGGGACCUGCAAAGGUUUCGGGCAAGGGCAAGGAGGAGGACCCUUUUACGUAUUUCAUACCCCAACCAAUACAGACCACAGAAUGUAACAAAGUCGACCUGUGGGCGUAGGCGUAAACAACCUCGUCCCUGGACGCAAAACAAAACUAUAUACAACUUUCAACAACGGAUCUCUUGGCUCUCGCAUCGAUGAAGAACGCAGCGAAAUGCGAUAAGUAAUGUGAAUUGCAGAAUUCAGUGAAUCAUCGAAUCUUUGAACGCACCUUGCGCUCCUUGGUAUUCCGAGGAGCAUGCCUGUUUGAGUGUCAUUAAAUUCUCAACCUCAAAGCCUUGUUGUAACGACUCGGCCUUUGGGGCUUGGACUUGGAGCGUGCGGGUACCCUCGGGUAUCGGCUCCUCUUGAAAUGCAUUAGCUGGUAACCUCUCCGCAGACCCGCCAUCGGUGUGAUAAUUAUCUACGUCGUUGUUGUGGUCUGCGCUUCGUAAUGGGGUACUGCUUCCAACCGUCUUCGGACAACCGUCUCCUUCAUCGGAGAUUGACCAUUUGACCUCAAAUCAGGUAGGACUACCC